Microcebus murinus (gray mouse lemur) is the source of this 1193-nucleotide non-coding RNA. Lineage: Eukaryota; Metazoa; Chordata; Mammalia; Primates; Cheirogaleidae. The record is from RefSeq and is a predicted model, not a curated record.
AUUUCAUGAUUUGUUCAUCCAGUGCAAAUGCACACUUGGUACAAAGGGUGACAAGGGGGUGGGGUGUUCCACAAACGUUGUCAUUCUAUCAAUGCCAGUGCCUGCAAACUAGCACAAAACUGAAUUAUAUGGGAUGAUGUGGACAUGGAAUUCAGAUGUGACCUUUUAAUAAUACAACAAAAUGCCCAACUAUGUUCUGGGUCUUUCCUUGAUUUAGGAGAGGACAGAAGAGGAGCGGAUCCAAGCCCACCUUAUGUUUUGCUGGUGGGGAGAAGCUACCUUACCAGCUCACUGGCACAAAUGAGCUAUCUGGGUAAGGAGGAACUGGGUAAACACGGACCUGGCUAUUUUUAGGUCUUGAAGUGAUGUAACAUUCCCACGUGUUGGCUGGAGCAUGUUUCUUAAAUCCUUCCUACAACUGCUCCUCAAAAGGUCCAGGCCACCCAAAGCCCAGCCAGCUCUGCAGCCCUGCAGCCCUGCGGGGAGGGGAGGGGGUGCUGUCAAAUGAGCUCUGGCUAUUAAGUUACUACAGCUUUAAAUACUCCUCUAAACCCAUGGCCCACGCUAGCAGCUCUAAAAUAUCAUAUAAAAUGAGAGGUAAAGAACACCUGAUCGGGCUGACAUCAUGGAAUCACAAAUCGUUGCAGGCUUUCCAGAGUGUUUAAAGGAUAAAAGAAGUGAAAUUCAUUUUUGUUGUGUGUGACGAAAAUAUCAGUGUGCAGCACCCUGAGAAAUGGUCCUUGCCCACAGUGUGAGGGAAGCGACUCGUUUGUGAAUUCUCUGCCCUGACCAAAAUGGGGUGAUCUUCCACAGACCUGAGACUUCACGGAACUCACAAGAACCUGCACUGGUACAUGCCACCCGCAGCAUACCACCAGACUGGUGACUCAGAGUGUCGGGGACGUGCCAGCCGGGCCCGCACCCCUUCCUACCCCGCCAUCGCCUGGACUGUGCCUUCUGCCCAUGCUGCCACAUGUCACUGCCUGGGGACUUAUUUUAUCCCAAGACCGUAGGAAAAGUUGGUGGACUGAUUUCAAUGGCUCAUCAUUUCCCAGGAAAGCAACUGAGGAAAACCGUUGAGGUGAUGAGAAAGGGGUUACCUCCUGGGGGUCCCCCGGUGCCAUCUUUCUGGGGAGCCCCCUCCUUCUUGGUCUCCAACCAGCCAGCUGGGGAGCUCAGUUCUCCCCCCAAGC